UCAGUUGUGAAAGUUUGCGGCUCAACCGUAAAAUUGCAGUUGAUACUGGGUGUCUUGAGUACAGUAGAGGCAGGCGGAAUUCGUGGUGUAGCGGUGAAAUGCUUAGAUAUCACGAAGAACUCCGAUUGCGAAGGCAGCUUGCUGGACUGUAACUGACGCUGAUGCUCGAAAGUGUGGGUAUCAAACAGGAUUAGAUACCCUGGUAGUCCACACAGUAAACGAUGAAUACUCGCUGUUUGCGAUAUACAGUAAGCGGCCAAGCGAAAGCGUUAAGUAUUCCACCUGGGGAGUACGCCGGCAACGGUGAAACUCAAAGGAAUUGACGGGGGCCCGCACAGGCGGAGGAACAUGUGGUUUAAUUCGAUGAUACGCGAGGAACCUUACCCGGGCUUGAAUUGCAACUGAAUGAUGUGGAGACAUGUCAGCCGCAAGGCAGUUGUGAAGGUGCUGCAUGGUUGUCGUCAGCUCGUGCCGUGAGGUGUCGGCUUAAG
This 491-nucleotide ribosomal RNA is filed under the name uncultured bacterium. RNAcentral's name for it is "bacterial SSU rRNA". It matches the Rfam family "Bacterial small subunit ribosomal RNA", at positions 588 to 1084 of the family's 1533-position model. The record is from RNAcentral.